UUUUCUGUGUGGCCUGCGGGGGAGUCAAGAGGAGCGGAGUAGUGGAUGGAAGGGAAUAGGAGAGGGGUGACGAGGGAUAAGGUACCACCGGUGUUCGGGUGUUGAGAGAGAGAGAGAGGAGUUCGGCGGGGAGGAGAAGCAGGGGUGGCGGCCGCGCUCCAGAGCGUGAGAAGGGUGAGAAGAGUCGGGGAGGAGCAGCUUAGCCAGCGGCUUCACGGGCUCCUAGGCGAGUUCGAGCCAGACCAACGACCCGCGGCCUGCUUCCGACUGCGCCUCCGCGCCCUUAACGGAGGUGGUCUAGCCGCCGACACCGUUAGUACACAGCGUUGGAGGCGCGGACCACGGAAGGAAAGGUAGAGCGAGCAGCCGCCGAGGGUGGUGGGACACGCACGCUGACGCGACGCGGGACAUUACGGGUACACGCCGUCGACACGGCGCCACCUACCAGGGAACGUUCACGUUCGGCUACGGCCGUCCACGCAACGGACUCCUCAAGCAGCCGCAGCUACAGCCCCGGACACCGACCCGCCGCUACCGGUUGUCACCGACCCGCCGCUCCCGUGUUGUCACCGAACCGCCGUGGCUGCAGACUGACAUCACACGUAGAUUUGCCGCUGUACUUUCUUCUGUAGCUCUAAUUGACCCUACCUUGACCGGUGCAUAACGCGUGUUCUCCUAUCAGACGUGGACGUAACCGCUCUUCGCGCAGCAUCGCCCGCAGCAGGCGAUGCGUACCGCCGCUACCGCGUCCCGACCCGCCGACGCUGCAUGCAGGCCCACCCGACUAAGGGCAUUCAAAUCUUUAAACAACACUCCGUCUGCACAAUUAAGGGUAAUUAACACCGAUUAAAAGACAUCAACUAACCUGCGCUUGCGUUUCCCACCUUGACAAAAAAAAAAGCCCCCUCCACGUUGACAAACUAGCUACCGUCUCAAAGCAGGCGAGUACAUUUAGCGAUUUGCAUGUGUCCCCUCCAGACUGAAAAUACACCUGCCAAUCUACGGACUAGGACCUCUACC
RNAcentral lists this ribosomal RNA (1020 nucleotides) under Triticum aestivum (bread wheat). Its description in RNAcentral is "partial small subunit ribosomal RNA". The record is from RNAcentral. Lineage: Eukaryota; Viridiplantae; Streptophyta; Magnoliopsida; Poales; Poaceae.